GGCAAAGAUGAUUGUAAAAUGUCCUCAGUUAGUUGCUUUGCAAGUUGGCCUCAUGAAAAAUAGUUAUUACUUUUUCAAGAGCGAUAUGGGUCGACCAAUGGAAGAGCUUUUGGACUUUCCAGACUACUUCACCUAUAGCUUGGAAUCAAGAAUCAAACCCAGGUACCAGAGGUUGCAGAACAAGGGAAUGAGAUGUUCUUUGGGUUGGUUUCUCAAUUGUAGUGACCAAAGAUUUGAAGAG
RNAcentral lists this unclassified non-coding RNA (241 nucleotides) under Hevea brasiliensis (rubber tree). The record is from RNAcentral. Lineage: Eukaryota; Viridiplantae; Streptophyta; Magnoliopsida; Malpighiales; Euphorbiaceae.